AGGUCAUGGUUAAGGUGAAGAUAACGAACAGUGAUCAAUCUCGUAAGGUCAGGGUAAAUGUGAAGAUAACGAACAGUGAUCAAUCUCGUAAGGUCAGGGUUAAGGAGAAGAUAACUGUGCUGGAUUCCGGAUUUUUUUUUUUUUUAUAUUUGUCCGGGAUUGGUUUUGUUUUGUAUGUUACAAAAAGCUCCCAGCACGUUCACGGCAUGGUACCCGUACUCAUGCAUUUUGACUUCCAACUUUCCACAACUUCAUGGCACCAAAGUUAUUUUACCCUCCCUGGAGGUUGUCUCUCUGCCAUUAAAAGUAAAGAAACAUA
Molecule: long non-coding RNA, 319 nt
Organism: Ostrea edulis (European flat oyster)
Lineage: Eukaryota; Metazoa; Mollusca; Bivalvia; Ostreida; Ostreidae
Exons: 2
Source: RefSeq, a predicted model, not a curated record